GCCAAAUCCUCGCAAGGCAAAGGAGUGCAGCGGAGUGAGGAACGGCGGCGCAAGGCGACGGCAAUAGAAGGGCAGCCAAGAACCGAAAGGGUUCAUCGAGUGAGGAGAGAUUAUUCAAGGGCAAGUGAGGCCAAAUGAGGAUUUUUAAUCAGAGAUAAGCAUACCAGGCCAUAAAGUGUUUGUUUUCGAGACCUGCCUGUUGCAGAUAUUUGUCUGUUGGAGAUAUUCGUUUGUUGGUUUUGGCUACGCCGAAAUGCUUCAAUUCGGAUCGUGGUGCACAAGAGUCGUGAGCCAUCUAGAGGUUGACCGACGAGAGUACUGUUGAAGGUGGCCACCUUCACGGUACACUAGAUUAUCAGACAUGGCAGGAGACAUAAGAAGUUAGACUGAUCAGUCGGACUUUUAAGAUCACAAAAGAAUUUAGUUGAUCGUCAAGAUGGAGAAGAAUUGAUCGGAGUCGAUGCUAUUAAAUAAGCAUGUGGAUUUCUCGAUGAUUCGUGUCUUCAUACACGAAGUCGUUUAAAAGGGACCUAUUUCUGCUGUAUUUUGUUAAGUGAGAAUUUCAAAGUCUCACAUUCGAACCCUGAUUUAGUUGAUAUGACCAAUUAUUCUAUUUUGAGAUCUUGUAAUCAAAUACUUAGCUUCUAAUUUGUGGUAUCAAUUGAUUGGC
This is a long non-coding RNA of Salvia splendens (bonfire salvia), 670 nucleotides long. RefSeq lists it as uncharacterized. The transcript has 4 exons. NCBI's taxonomy places the organism in Eukaryota, Viridiplantae, Streptophyta, Magnoliopsida, Lamiales, Lamiaceae. The record is from RefSeq and is a predicted model, not a curated record.